RNAcentral lists this long non-coding RNA (1109 nucleotides) under Equus asinus (donkey). RNAcentral's name for it is "lncRNA (ENSEASG00005031962.1)". Lineage: Eukaryota; Metazoa; Chordata; Mammalia; Perissodactyla; Equidae. The record is from RNAcentral.
GGAAAAUUUAAUCCAGACUGUUGUUGGAGAAACAAGAAUCCUGAGGCCUGUGUAGUAUGAUGCAGGUUCCUCUUUUAAUGUCAUUCUGUUACUUUUGUAAUACAGCAUCUCUGUCCCCAUCUUAGAGCUGUGGGACAGCUGGCAGGACACAGGGAAGUCUCCAGUGUUGACCUCCUGCAUUGUGGAUGGCUAGGUGUUUUCCUCCAUGUGCAUCCACCAGAAUCACCAUGUUCUGAAGGUGGUUGGGAUCUGGGACAACAGGGUUGUGAGAGAAACAAGUGAGCUCUCAGGGCUGCCAGCCGACUGGAUGCACCAUGGAGACGUCCUCCAGAUCACUGGUAGGACAUGGAAGAAAUGGGACUUCGGACGGGGCACGUGUUGUCCCCAUCAGACUGCUCUCUACGCCCUCCCUGUCUGCUUUGCUUUCUGGGCAGCUCCAACUGACCUCCUCCCUUUAGACUUUUCUGGAUAGAAGUCAUGCUCAGUCCCUAGGCACAUUCUCCUGCUGCCUCAGAAACAAGAAGGAUAGAGGCUGGGUUCCCCCAAGGACUCCCAGGUGUGGCCAGCUUCUACUCAGGAAACCACACCCAGGGCAGCAGGCUGGCACUGUGUCUGAAAGAGGCAGUUACCACAAUGUCUUUAUCUCUGAUCACCGGAUGUGUUUUGAAUCAGCACAGUGAAUAUUCAAAAUGGUUUUUCCUUGGACAAAUUAAGGACUCGAUGAUCAGCGUAACAGGGGUAGAAAUGACCUCUCACUGGUGAAGUGGGCGCUGUUCACGGGAGGUGGACUGGCUACUGCAUCUCAGACCCUCCUCACCUGUGGGAGCAGAGUGUGAGAGAGGAGCCUGCAGACCGUUCUUUAGGGGCGACACCCGAAGCUGAUCUCUGGCUAUGCCCGUGCCCUUCCCUGCGGGAUGAUUUCUGGUUACCUAAGGCUGACAGUUCGGACAACAGAAUCCUGCGCUGGGUGAACCUUUCAUGCAAGAUGGGGUCACAGCACCUAAAAGGACAGAGGCUUGUGUCUUCAUUCAGCUUUCAGAACAGGAUGGAUGACAGCUCUGUGCCUCUGUGGUGAACAUGUUUAAUAAAUGCCUGUGUGAGUGACGUAA